RNAcentral lists this ribosomal RNA (449 nucleotides) under uncultured bacterium. RNAcentral describes it as "partial 16S ribosomal RNA". It matches the Rfam family "Bacterial small subunit ribosomal RNA", at positions 29 to 523 of the family's 1533-position model. The record is from RNAcentral.
AACGAACGCUGGCGGCAGGCCUAACACAUGCAAGUCGAGCGAGGACUUCGGUCCUAGCGGCGGACGGGUGAGUAACGCGUGGGAACGUACCCUUUGCUACGGAAUAGCCCCGGGAAACUGGGAGUAAUACCGUAUGUGCCCUUUGGGGGAAAGAUUUAUCGGCAAAGGAUCGGCCCGCGUUGGAUUAGGUAGUUGGUGGGGUAAUGGCCUACCAAGCCGACGAUCCAUAGCUGGUUUGAGAGGAUGAUCAGCCACACUGGGACUGAGACACGGCCCAGACUCCUACGGGAGGCAGCAGUGGGGAAUCUUAGACAAAGGGCGCAAGCCUGAUCUAGCCAUGCCGCGUGAGCGAUGAAGGCCUUAGGGUUGUAAAGCUCUUUCAGGGGGGAAGAUAAUGACUGUACCCCCAGAAGAAGCCCCGGCUAACUCCGUGCCAGCCGCCGCAGUAA